Molecule: long non-coding RNA, 659 nt
Filed under: Marmota monax (woodchuck)
Lineage: Eukaryota; Metazoa; Chordata; Mammalia; Rodentia; Sciuridae
Source: RNAcentral
AUUCCCAGUUGAUCCAUAUCAGUGAAUUAAUGCACUGAUUGGGUUCAAGUUCUCAUAACCCAAUCAUUUUACUUCUAAAUUUUCUUGCAUUGUCUUGCACAUGAACUUUUGAAUACCGCAUAUCAAAAUCAUAACAGAUGCUUAAAUUGGGGAAACAAGAUGAGCCAUAUGCCUGCCUCAGCAUAUUGCCUUGAGGGAGAUUCCAAGUUACAGUGUAGGGAGGGGGAAUCUAGAUGGAUCCUGGUGAUUUUCCUGAGUUGAGGAGAUGGAACAGGGAUUCCAGAAAGACCAAGAGAGAGUUUACAGAUCAGAAUUCAGAAGAAAGAAAACUCCAGAGGUCUGCAGAAGGUUCUAGACUCCAGUAGAAUUGAUGACCUGUGUUUCAAAAACCACCAGAGCAGGGGAAAGGACCACAUGAACAAUCCCUGGAGCUUAACUAGAAAAACCUAGUUCAUGAGCAUGGGAUAGAACACUUAGAAGGGUUUUGUCUCAAUAGUGAGAUAAAAUGAGCCUAAAUAUGGCUCUUUCCCCACCUAACAAAAGCUUAAAAACAAGACCUGAAAGGAUCAAACUGUUUCCAAAUAGUUGCAUCUCAGAACACUUGAGAAUGUUUUUUAACAUCUCUAAUACCCAAUUAAAUUCAAAAUGUCUUAACAUUC